RNAcentral lists this ribosomal RNA (451 nucleotides) under uncultured bacterium. RNAcentral describes it as "partial 16S ribosomal RNA". It matches the Rfam family "Bacterial small subunit ribosomal RNA", at positions 28 to 507 of the family's 1533-position model. The record is from RNAcentral.
GAUGAAUGCUGGCGGCGUGCCUAACACAUGCAAGUCGAGCGGCAGCGAGGGGUGCUUGCACCCUGUCGGCGAGCGGCGAACGGCUGAGUAACGCGUAGGAAUUUGCCCCAAAGUGAGGAAUAACUGCCCGAAAGGGUAGCUAAUGCCGCAUAUGGUCUUCGGAUUAAAGGAUUUAUCCGCUUUGUGAGAAGCCUGCGUUGGAUUAGGUUGUUGGUAGGGUAAUGGCCUACCAAGCCGACGAUCCAUAGCUGGUCUGAGAGGAUGAUCAGCCAGACUGGAACUGAGACACGGUCCAGACUCCUACGGGAGGCAGCAGUGAGGAAUCUUCCACAAUGGGCGAAAGCCUGAUGGAGCAACGCCGCGUGAAGGAUGAAGGCCUUCGGGUUGUAAACUUCUUUUAUGAGUGAAGAAUAUGACGGUAACUCGUGAAUAAGCACCGGCUAACUACGUG